Molecule: ribosomal RNA, 253 nt
Filed under: uncultured bacterium
Lineage: Bacteria
Description: partial 16S ribosomal RNA
Rfam family: Bacterial small subunit ribosomal RNA
Source: RNAcentral
UACAGAGGUCUCAAGCGUUGUUCGGAUUCAUUGGGCGUAAAGCGCGCGCAGGCGGUCCUUUAAGUCUGAUGUGAAAGCCCACGGCUCAACCGUGGAGGGUCAUUGGAAACUGGGGGACUUGAGUGCAGGAGAGAAAAGUGGAAUUCCACGUGUAGCGGUGAAAUGCGUAGAGAUGUGGAGGAACACCAGUGGCGAAGGCGACUUUUUGGCCUGUAACUGACGCUGAGGCGCGAAAGCGUGGGGAGCAAACAGG